CGGGGGGAGCAAGCGUUGUUCGGAUUUACUGGGCGUAAAGGGCGCGUAGGCGGCGCAACAAGUCACUUGUGAAAUCUCCGGGCUUAACCCGGAGCGGCCAAGUGAUACUGUCGUGCUAGAGUGCGGAAGGGGCUACUGGAAUUCUCGGUGUAGCGGUGAAAUGCGUAGAUAUCGAGAGGAACACCUGCGGCGAAGGCGGGUAGCUGGGCCGACACUGACGUCUGAGGCGCGAAAGCCAGGGGGAGCGAACGGGAUUAGAUACCCCGGUAGUCCUAGCCUUAAACGAUGAAUGCUUGGUGUCUGGGGUUUUAUAGUCCCCGGGUGCCGUCGCUAACGCUUUAAGCAUUCCGCCUGGGGAGUACGGUCGCAAGACUG
RNAcentral lists this ribosomal RNA (375 nucleotides) under uncultured organism. RNAcentral describes it as "bacterial SSU rRNA". It matches the Rfam family "Bacterial small subunit ribosomal RNA", at positions 526 to 896 of the family's 1533-position model. The record is from RNAcentral.